CGGACGGGUGAGUAACGCGUGGGUAACCUGCCUUACACAGGGGGAUAACACUUAGAGAUAGGUGCUAAUACCGCAUGAGCGCACAGGACCGCAUGGUCGAGUGUGAAAAACUGAGGUGGUGUAAGAUGGACCCGCGUCUGAUUAGCUAGUUGGUGAGGUAACGGCCCACCAAGGCGACGAUCAGUAGCCGGCCUGAGAGGGUGAACGGCCACAUUGGGACUGAGACACGGCCCAAACUCCUACGGAAGGCAGCAG
This 255-nucleotide ribosomal RNA is filed under the name uncultured bacterium. Its description in RNAcentral is "partial 16S ribosomal RNA". It matches the Rfam family "Bacterial small subunit ribosomal RNA", at positions 99 to 354 of the family's 1533-position model. The record is from RNAcentral.